This 253-nucleotide ribosomal RNA is filed under the name uncultured bacterium. RNAcentral's name for it is "partial 16S ribosomal RNA". It matches the Rfam family "Bacterial small subunit ribosomal RNA", at positions 524 to 776 of the family's 1533-position model. The record is from RNAcentral.
GACGGGGGGUGCGAGCGUUAAUCGGAAUUACUGGGCGUAAAGCGCAUGUAGGCGGCCGAACAAGUCAGGUGUGAAAUCCUCGGGCUUAACCUGGGAAGUGCACUUGAUACUGUCCGGCUAGAGUUUGGCAGAGGAAAGUAGAAUUCCCGGUGUAGCAGUGAAAUGCGUAGAUAUCGGGAGGAAUACCAGUGGCGAAGGCGGCUUUCUGGGCCAAUACUGACGAUGAGGUGCGAAAGCGUGGGGAGCAAACAGG